RNAcentral lists this ribosomal RNA (1789 nucleotides) under Alphaproteobacteria bacterium. RNAcentral's name for it is "partial 23S ribosomal RNA". It matches the Rfam family "Bacterial large subunit ribosomal RNA", at positions 1 to 1963 of the family's 2925-position model. Lineage: Bacteria; Pseudomonadati; Pseudomonadota; Alphaproteobacteria. The record is from RNAcentral.
GAUCAAGCGUCUUAAAGGGCAUCUGGUGGAUGCCUUGGCACAGAGAGGCGAUGAAGGACGUGGUACGCUGCGAUAUGCCAUGGGGAGCCGCGAACAGGCUUUGAUCCAUGGAUUUCCGAAUGGGGAAACCCCACCUUCGGGUGAUCCUGCACUGAAUACAUAGGUGCAGGAGGCGAACCGGGUGAACUGAAACAUCUCAGUAACCCGAGGAAAGGACAUCAACCGAGACUCCGCUAGUAGUGGCGAGCGAACGCGGACCAGGCCAGUGGCGAUAUUUUGAAAACCGGAACCGUCUGGAAAGUCGGGCCAUAGCGGGUGACAGCCCCGUACGGGUAGACCAGAGUAUCGUCCUCGAGUAGGGCGGGACACGUGAAAUCCUGUCUGAACAUGGGGGGACCACCCUCCAAGCCUAAGUACUCCUCUGUGACCGAUAGUGCACCAGUACCGUGAGGGAAAGGUGAAAAGCACCCCGACGAGGGGAGUGAAAGAGAACCUGAAACCUGAUGCCUACAAGCAGUCGGAGCCCUUCGGGGUGACGGCGUACCUUUUGUAUAAUGGGUCAGCGAGUUAGUGUAUGCAGCAAGCUUAAGCCGUUAGGUGUAGGCGCAGCGAAAGCGAGUCUGAAUAGGGCGAUUCAGUUGCAUGCAUUAGACCCGAAACCUGGUGAUCUAGCCAUGGUCAGGUUGAAGGUGGGGUAACACCCACUGGAGGACCGAACUCACGUCUGUUGAAAAAGACGGGGAUGAACUGUGGCUAGGGGUGAAAGGCCAAUCAAACCAGGAAAUAGCUGGUUCUCCGCGAAAGCUAUUGAGGUAGCGCCUCGGACGAAUACCCACGGGGGUAGAGCACUGGAUGGGCUAGGGGGUCCCAAAGACUUACCAAACCUAACCAAACUCCGAAUACCGUGGAGUAAUAUCCGGGAGACAGACGGCGGGUGCUAAGGUCCGUCGUCAAAAGGGAAAGAACCCAGACCGCCAGCUAAGGUCCCCAAAUCGUGGUUAAGUGUGAAAGGAUGUGGGAAGGCCAUAACAACCAGGAGGUUGGCUUAGAAGCAGCCAUCCUUUAAAGAAAGCGUAAUAGCUCACUGGUCUAAUAGCAGUCCUGCGCCGAAAAUGUAUCGGGGCUCAAACCACGUACCGAAGCUGCGGGUGCAACGCAAGUUGCGCGGUAGCGGAGCGUUCCGUAGGCCGUUGAAGGUGUGCCGCGAGGUAUGCUGGAGGUAUCGGAAGUGCGAAUGCUGACAUGAGUAGCGACAAACAGUGUGAGAAACACUGUCGCCGAAAGUCCAAGGGUUCCUGCGCAAGGUUAAUCCACGCAGGGUGAGCCGGUCCCUAAGGUGAGGCCGAAAGGCGUAAUCGAUGGGAAUGGGGUUAAUAUUCCCCAGCCUGCCGAAAGUGACGAUCCCAAAACGUUGUUCGAUCUUAUUGGAUUGAUCGGGCCGCUGGAGGGAUCCAGGAAAUAGCUUCGGCAUAUAGUCCGUACCCGAAACCGACACAGGUGGACUGGUAGAGCAUACCAAGGCGCUUGAGAGAACGAUGUUGAAGGAACUAGGCAAAUUGACCCCGUAACUUCGGAAGAAGGGGUACCCUUUCUCGGGCAACCGAGGGGGGGUGGCACAGACCAGGGGGUGGCGACUGUUUACUAAAAACACAGGGCUCUGCGAAGCCGCAAGGCGACGUAUAGGGUCUGACGCCUGCCCGGUGCCGGAAGGUUAAAAGGAGGUGUGCAAGCACCGAAUUGAAGCCCCGGUAAACGGCGGCCGUAACUAUAACGGUCCUAAGGUAGCGAA